Molecule: ribosomal RNA, 194 nt
Filed under: uncultured organism
Description: partial 16S ribosomal RNA
Rfam family: Bacterial small subunit ribosomal RNA
Source: RNAcentral
CCUACGGGAGGCAGCAGUGGGGAAUUUUGGACAAUGGGCGCAAGCCUGAUCCAGCCAUGCCGCGUGUAUGAAGAAGGCCUUCGGGUUGUAAAGUACUUUUGUCAGGGAAGAAAAGGAUGUUGUUAAUAGCGGCAUCUGAUGACGGUACCUGAAGAAUAAGCACCGGCUAACUACGUGCCAGCAGCCGCGGUAAU